Molecule: ribosomal RNA, 373 nt
Filed under: uncultured organism
Description: partial 16S ribosomal RNA
Rfam family: Bacterial small subunit ribosomal RNA
Source: RNAcentral
GUAGGUGGCAAGCGUUGUCCGGAAUUUAUUGGGGCGUAAAGCGCGCGCAGGCGGUUCUUUAAGUCUGAUGUGAAAGCCCACGGCUCAACCGUGGAGGGUCAUUGGAAACUGGAGAACUUGAGUACAGAAGAGGAAAGCGGAAUUCCACGUGUAGCGGUGAAAUGCGUAGAGAUGUGGAGGAACACCAGUGGCGAAGGCGGCUUUCUGGUCUGUAACUGACGCUGAGGCGCGAAAGCGUGGGGAGCAAACAGGAUUAGAUACCCUGGUAGUCCACGCCGUAAAUGAUGAGUGCUAAGUGUUAGGGGGUUUCCGCCCCUUAGUGCUGCAGCUAACGCAUUAAGCACUCCGCCUGGGGAGUACGGCCGCAAGGCUG